UACGGGGGGAGCAAGCGCUGUUCGGAUUUACUGGGCGUAAAGAGCUCGUAGGCGGUGUGUCGCGUCGGCCGUGAAAACCUGCAGCUUAACUGUGGGCUUGCGGUCGAUACGGGCAUGACUGGAGUUCGGCAGGGGAGACUGGAAUUCCUGGUGUAGCGGUGAAAUGCGCAGAUAUCAGGAGGAACACCCGUAGCGAAGGCGGCACUCUGGGCCGAUACUGACACUGAGGAGCGAAAGCGUGGGGAGCGAACAGG
RNAcentral lists this ribosomal RNA (254 nucleotides) under uncultured bacterium. RNAcentral describes it as "partial 16S ribosomal RNA". It matches the Rfam family "Bacterial small subunit ribosomal RNA", at positions 524 to 776 of the family's 1533-position model. The record is from RNAcentral.